UGUUAAGCAGAAUAAGCCAGACUUAUAAAGGCCCAACUGUUUCUUAUCAGGUGUGGAAGUUAAAAAGAAAAGAGGAAGAAGAAAAGAUCUUUUGAAAAUGGAGGGAAGACCAGUAGGGUGGAAGAAAGAACAGUUUAAAAAUUGGAUGCCAGAUGCCAGUGAUUUAUUGACAAGAUUGGUGCAUCAGGGUGGAUGGGCUCACUAGUCUUUCCAUUACAUCACUUCUCUGGGUUGUGUCUCACAGUUGGAGGUCUCCAUAGAAGGCAGGUUGCCUGGAAAAAUAUUAUGAGAACAUUUUAUGGCACAGUUGAAAUUCAGUCAAAUUCUCUGCCACUUUGUAAAGAAGUUGUCAACACACAAAAAUUACCCUCUUUAGUGUGAAAAAAAUUGGCUGGCAGUGAUUUAAACAUGUGUUCUUUAAAUUAAAUCACUCUUCAAUGUAUAUUUUAAAAUAAAGAGAAUCCAAAAGAUAUAA
Ictidomys tridecemlineatus (thirteen-lined ground squirrel) is the source of this 475-nucleotide non-coding RNA. The record is from RefSeq and is a predicted model, not a curated record. Lineage: Eukaryota; Metazoa; Chordata; Mammalia; Rodentia; Sciuridae.